Molecule: small nuclear RNA, 143 nt
Filed under: Suricata suricatta (meerkat)
Lineage: Eukaryota; Metazoa; Chordata; Mammalia; Carnivora; Herpestidae
Description: U2 spliceosomal RNA (ENSSSUG00005014946.1)
Rfam family: U2 spliceosomal RNA
About the family: U2 is a small nuclear RNA (snRNA) component of the spliceosome (involved in pre-mRNA splicing). Complementary binding between U2 snRNA (in an area lying towards the 5' end but 3' to hairpin I) and the branchpoint sequence (BPS) of the intron results the bulging out of an unpaired adenosine, on the BPS, which initiates a nucleophilic attack at the intronic 5' splice site, thus starting the first of two transesterification reactions that mediate splicing.
Source: Rfam by way of RNAcentral
AUCGCUUCUCGGCCUUUUGGCUAAGAUCAAGUGUGGAGUUACAGAAAUGUUCUAUAUAAUUUUGGGAAAGAGUUUGAGUAUUUACAUUUAUGUAUGACUUAUUGAGUUGUACACUUACUUAUGCAUUUAAUUGUGUACCUUUA